This 29-nucleotide small RNA is filed under the name Bombyx mori (domestic silkworm). RNAcentral's name for it is "ovarian small RNA-18782". The record is from RNAcentral. Lineage: Eukaryota; Metazoa; Arthropoda; Insecta; Lepidoptera; Bombycidae.
UAACCUUUUCAAUAAUUUUCAACAACGCC